Molecule: long non-coding RNA, 734 nt
Organism: Lagenorhynchus albirostris (white-beaked dolphin)
Lineage: Eukaryota; Metazoa; Chordata; Mammalia; Artiodactyla; Delphinidae
Exons: 2
Source: RefSeq, a predicted model, not a curated record
CUCCGCUUCCGCCCUGGAGGAAAGGACCUCCCCUCCCCCCUAUAGCGAAACAGACUGCCCAGACCUGGCCGGGUCGGGCCCGGUAAACCUCCCCAGUGCCGGGUACGCGGGUCUCUCACUGUUGUGGCCUCUCCCGUCGCGGAGCACAGGCUCCAGAUGCACAGGCUCAGCGGCCAUGGCUCACGGGCCCAGCCGGCAUGUGGAAUCUUCCCAGACCAGGGCAUGAACCCGUGUCCCCUGCAUCGGCAGGUGGACUCCCAACCACUGCGCCACCAGGGAAGCCUGGUUUAUCCUUAACAUACAAGAAAAUGCACAGAUCUUGGGUGUUUUGUUUGGUGAAUUUCAACAAUAAUAUAUACACUUAUGUAACCCCCCAAACAAGAUACUGAACCAUCACCCCAAAGAAUUCCUUCAUUCCCCUGUAUAGUCAAUUACCCUGCACCUACCAACACCCACCCUCUGCAACUUCCUGAAUUUUAUCACCAUGGUUUUGUCUGUUCUUGAAUUUCACAUAAGUGGAAUCAUACAGUAUGUACUCUUUUGUGUCUAUAUUCUUUAGCUUAGUAACGUUUUUGAGAUUCAGCCAUGUGUAGUCUAUUUUUUAUAUUGCUGAGUAAUAGUCCAUUGUAUGAAUAUAUUGUAAUUUGUUUAUCCAUUCUCCAAUUGAUGGAUAUUUGGGUGUUUCCAGUUUGGGGCUAUCAUGAAUAAGGCUGCUCUAAAUAUUCUUGUGCAAA